GGAAACUGGGGGCAGGCGGUGGCGUGAAUGAGAGGGGGGCAAGCGUGGUUGGGAUUGAGUGAGGGGAAAGGGAGUGUAGGCGGUUGGAUAAGGCCGCCGUGAAAGCGCCAGGGGUAAGCUGGAAAGGGCAGAGGGGACUGGUCAGCGAGAGGAGGGGAGAGGGGGGCGGAAUGCCCGGUGUAGCGGUGAAAUGCGUAGAGAUCGGGAGGAAGGCCGGUGGCGAAGGCGGCGCUCUGGAACAUUUCUGACGCUGAGGCUCGAAAGCGUGGGGAGCAAACAGGAUUAGAUACCCCGGUAGUC
RNAcentral lists this ribosomal RNA (300 nucleotides) under uncultured Lactobacillus sp. RNAcentral's name for it is "bacterial SSU rRNA". The stretch from base 52 to 300 matches the Rfam family "Bacterial small subunit ribosomal RNA", at positions 547 to 795 of the family's 1533-position model. The record is from RNAcentral. Lineage: Bacteria; Bacillati; Bacillota; Bacilli; Lactobacillales; Lactobacillaceae.